CCAAAGUGAAAUAAUGUCUUUUAGUUUAAUUGCUUUGCCACCUGUUUUUUUGUUGUUUCUACUUUUGUUUGAUUUGUCUUUUUUUUGCUUCCUGACUUAAGGCACCGAUAAUACGCUGUCAUGUGUACAGUAACAUUCAAGAUGGAACUGGAGGAGCAGGGAACAUAGAGUGAUGGGGAAGAAAAGAGGGAAUCCCGAGCAGAGAAAACUGGGAAAAGAACUAGAGGGAAUGUAAAUGGAAAGGCUAGAGCUACAGAGGCAUCUCGAUCUAUGAGAAAAAGGCCACGAGAAUCAUAGGGGCCUCACUCAGCCUUGUUAUCCCUGAGCUCCUGAAUCAGUGCCAGAAACCACCUGUGGAGUCCUAAUAAGAUAACUCCUUUUAGAAGAAAAUUCAAGAUCUGGCAACACUGUGCCCAAGCUUCUCUAAGGAAGAGAUUGUCAAAGUGUGGUGCCUGGACCAGCAGCAUUAGCAUCACCUGGGACCAGUUAGAAAUGAAGAUGCUCAGGCUCCAUCCCAGACCUGCUGGGGCUGGGGCCCAACAAUCUGUGUUUUAACAGGCUCCCUGUGUGACUGUGAUACGUGAUGCUCCAAGGUAAUUGGCCACUGAAGAAAGUAAAGACUGUUCUACACCUAAGAAGCAAGGACUCAAUUACAGCAUGUGUUACUGCAUUAUAUCAUUUAAAAUAUUCAAAAUUAAUGGAAGGAAUAAACACAGGCUAAAGGAUGAUUUAAAAAAAGAGUUAAAUGCUGGUUUGAAUCCUUACUUUUUAAUACCACUUUUUAAAAAGGUUAUUUUAUUUGCAUGCCAAGUAUCUACAAAAUAAAACAUCUCUUCAUGACCUUUAGAUUUUAUUUUUGAUACCAGAAACAUUUUUCGUGCAGAAGAU
RNAcentral lists this long non-coding RNA (888 nucleotides) under Homo sapiens (human). RNAcentral's name for it is "HSALNT0264175". The record is from RNAcentral. Lineage: Eukaryota; Metazoa; Chordata; Mammalia; Primates; Hominidae.